CGUUCGUUUGAUGAGAAAUAAAAAGGAAUAUCGAAAAUUCGAGUGGCUGAAGCUGAAGCAGCUACUUUCGAAGUAACAGAAAGAAAAGCAACGACUGGAGAUGAGAAAUAAAAAGGAAUAUCGAAAAUUCGAGUGGCUGAAGCUGAAGCAGCUACUUUCGAAGUAACAGAAAGAAACGCAUCUCUUUUGAAAUAGGCCUAUUUUUCUCCAAGUUUGACCAGUGAAUCGAACGGGGAUUCAAGUUUUUCAUUUCAUGAAGUAAAAAU
RNAcentral lists this long non-coding RNA (266 nucleotides) under Nicotiana benthamiana. RNAcentral describes it as "long non-coding RNA (NBEN_LNC007127)". The record is from RNAcentral. Lineage: Eukaryota; Viridiplantae; Streptophyta; Magnoliopsida; Solanales; Solanaceae.